Molecule: ribosomal RNA, 774 nt
Filed under: uncultured bacterium
Lineage: Bacteria
Description: bacterial SSU rRNA
Rfam family: Bacterial small subunit ribosomal RNA
Source: RNAcentral
AGAGUUUGAUCCUGGCUCAGGACGAACGCUGGUGGCGUGCUUAACACAUGCAAGUCGAACGGUGAAGCUCAGCUUGCUGGGUGGAUCAGUGGCGAACGGGUGAGUAACACGUGAGCAACCUGCCCCCUACUUCGGGAUAAGCCUUGGAAACGAGGUCUAAUACCGGAUAUGAACGCCUGUCGCAUGGUGGGUGUUGGAAAGUUUUUCGGUGGGGGAUGGGCUCGCGGCCUAUCAGCUUGUUGGUGGGGUAAUGGCCUACCAAGGCGUCGACGGGUAGCCGGCCUGAGAGGGCGACCGGCCACACUGGGACUGAGACACGGCCCAGACUCCUACGGGAGGCAGCAGUGGGGAAUAUUGCACAAUGGGCGAAAGCCUGAUGCAGCGACGCCACGUGAGGGAUGACGGCCUUCGGGUUGUAAACCUCUUUCAGCAGGGAAGAAGCGAAAGUGACGGUACCUGCAGAAGAAGCGCCGGCUAACUACGUGCCAGCAGCCGCGGUAAUACGUAGGGCGCAAGCGUUGUCCGGAAUUAUUGGGCGUAAAGAGCUCGUAGGCGGUCUGUCGCGUCUGGUGUGAAAUCCCAUGGCUCAACUGUGGGCUUGCAUUGGGUACGGGCAGACUAGAGUGCUGUAGGGGAGACUGGAAUUCCUGGUGUAGCGGUGGAAUGCGCAGAUAUCAGGAGGAACACCGAUGGCGAAGGCAGGUCUCUGGGCAGUUACUGACGCUGAGGANNGAAAGCAUGGGGAGCGAACAGGAUUAGAUACCCUAGUAGUCC